Molecule: long non-coding RNA, 808 nt
Organism: Lycium ferocissimum
Lineage: Eukaryota; Viridiplantae; Streptophyta; Magnoliopsida; Solanales; Solanaceae
Exons: 3
Source: RefSeq, a predicted model, not a curated record
UUUAGUCAUUUUACUCUAUUUUGGCAAUUUUAUAGCUUAAGGAAAUCCAAAGGUCACGUCUAUUCAUACGCCAAUUUGUAACCUCCUUCUCUUAAUUGGAGUAUAUCUCUUCCUCUUUUCCUUCUUCAAGUACAACUCCUUUUUUCCAGAACGUCUUUCUCUUUUUCUCUCUUCUUCCUACUCACUAGAGCCAUCAAACAUGGAUACAUCAACGAGUCUGGUGACGGUAACAAGAUUGGUUAAGAGAUCGGGGCGGGCAAAAAAAGCUAUGGCACCAAUCAUGGCAAGAAACAGAUUCAACGUAAAAUGGACGCUGACGUAGGCAAAGGCAUUCAUGGAGCACUAUUACUCCAUUGUUCGAUACCUACGGGAUCGCGCUCAGAAGUCUGUACCAAGAAGGUUCCAUGCUAAUAAGCUCGGUUUCUUCUAAGUUCUGGACUUGGGAUGAAGUUCAAGUUUCUUAAAAUAAUUUACUUAAUGAUAUUGUGUCUCUCCUUCAUUUACUUGAUUUAGAAGAUGCUAUGGUUAAAUGUUUAGCGUUGUUGCAGUCUCUGCUUUAGCGUUUACUAACCUGUAUUGAAGAUCUUAAUAUCAAAUUAUCAAAAUAUGAUUGUCAUUGGUUUAAGUUUAAAAAAGUGACUGUUUGCAUUAACUAUCCCGUUGAACUACGUUCAUAUGCAUUAGUUGUCUCAAGAAACUUUACCAUUUAUAUAGGGUACCAAAUCGUAGUUUGUACAGAUUUCAUAAAACAUGUGCUAAAAGAUAGGAGAAGAAAGAUAAAUAAGAAUGCUAACUUGAGAGAGAGCCA